This 89-nucleotide ribosomal RNA is filed under the name uncultured bacterium. RNAcentral describes it as "partial 16S ribosomal RNA". The record is from RNAcentral.
CCCGUCACACCAUGGGAGUCAGCUGCUCUAGAAGUCGGUGCGCCAACCUCGUGAGGCAGCCGCCUAAAGAGUGACUGGUGACUGGGGUG